UUUUUGAGAGUGAUUGUAGGAUUUUUCAUAAUGUUCAAUGGUUGAUUUCAUCCAAGAUGAAGUCCUAUCAUGUUUUAGUGAAAUUAUGUUCCUAAGUCAAAGAUCCAUAUUUGCAAGUAAAGAAAUUGAGUUGGGUAUGAAAAGAUUAUGAAUAAAUGAAAAGUCUAGUCUAGAAGGACCUCUCGACAAGCUCAAUUGUGCAUAAAUUAAUUUUUGAGAAGACAAGUCUAGU
This 232-nucleotide long non-coding RNA is filed under the name Elaeis guineensis (African oil palm). Its description in RNAcentral is "long non-coding RNA (EGUI_LNC031401)". The record is from RNAcentral. Lineage: Eukaryota; Viridiplantae; Streptophyta; Magnoliopsida; Arecales; Arecaceae.